RNAcentral lists this ribosomal RNA (137 nucleotides) under Jaculus jaculus (lesser Egyptian jerboa). The record is from RNAcentral. Lineage: Eukaryota; Metazoa; Chordata; Mammalia; Rodentia; Dipodidae.
GUCUAUGGCCACACCACUUUGAAUGUGCCCUAUCUUGUCUGAUCUUGGGAGCUAAGCAGGGUCAGGCCUGGUUAAUACUCAAAUGGUCAUUAGGGGCUCCAUGCUAGAGAUCAAAGGUACAGAUGGCGUCAUAGUUC